GGAGAUUUUGAUUUUAUGUCAAUAAUUAUCUUUUUCCAAAUUACCUUAUUUACUCCAAUGGACAUAUUCCAAGUGUCGUAACUACAAUCUCUCCCUCUUUUCUCAACUUAUGACAUCAUCGAAUGAGACUUUUCAAGUGAUUUUGUACUUUCAUAAGCAACACGAGUGGUGCCACCUGUGGAACAGGAACUACUGACCCUUCUGGAGAAUCUAAAACUUUAGUUUUCUAGUAUGUAAACGAGAGACGAAAGAUACCAAAGAUACAUUCAAACUCAUU
Molecule: long non-coding RNA, 277 nt
Filed under: Mytilus galloprovincialis (Mediterranean mussel)
Lineage: Eukaryota; Metazoa; Mollusca; Bivalvia; Mytilida; Mytilidae
Source: RNAcentral